GGAUGUGAGGGUGAUCUGGCUGCGACAUCUGUCACCCCAUUGAUCGCCAGCGUUGAUUCGGCUGAUCUGGCUGGCUAGGCGGGUGUCCCCUUCCUCCCUCACCUCUCCGUGUACAUCCCUCCCGAAGCUGUGCACUCGGUCGAAGAGGAUGACCUUCCCCGCUAGAGGAGGACCGGUCUUCGGUCAAGGGUAUACGAGUAGCUGCGCUCCCCUGCUAGAACCUCCAAACAAGCUCUUAAGAAACACUGACAAGAUGGACAAGAAACCAAGAGAAGUGUUUCAGAAAUGGUGGGCAGGCGGGAGAGGCCAGACUU
Molecule: small nuclear RNA, 314 nt
Filed under: Propithecus coquereli (Coquerel's sifaka)
Lineage: Eukaryota; Metazoa; Chordata; Mammalia; Primates; Indriidae
Description: 7SK RNA (ENSPCOG00000006379.1)
Rfam family: 7SK RNA
About the family: 7SK was discovered as an abundant small nuclear RNA in the mid-70s but a possible function has only recently been suggested. Two independent studies have found that 7SK RNA binds the CDK9/cyclin T complex (known as elongation factor P-TEFb).
Source: Rfam by way of RNAcentral